This 30-nucleotide non-coding RNA is filed under the name Rattus norvegicus (Norway rat). The record is from RNAcentral. Lineage: Eukaryota; Metazoa; Chordata; Mammalia; Rodentia; Muridae.
UUUAGGGAUAUGAAGAGGCAUUAAAGCUGU